RNAcentral lists this microRNA precursor (119 nucleotides) under Nasonia vitripennis (jewel wasp). Its description in RNAcentral is "microRNA nvi-mir-993 precursor". Its record names the gene nvi-mir-993. The stretch from base 38 to 112 matches the Rfam family "mir-10 microRNA precursor family". Rfam says of the family: In this case the mature sequence comes from the 5' arm of the precursor. The record is from miRBase by way of RNAcentral. Lineage: Eukaryota; Metazoa; Arthropoda; Insecta; Hymenoptera; Pteromalidae.
GCGAGAGACGACGGUGUUUGCGAAAGAUAGGCACAUUCGUGAUCUACCCUGUAGAUCCGGGCUUUUGUAGAAUUGUAGAUAUCAGAAGCUCGUCUCUACAGGUAUCUUACGGAUGACAU